AUGCCUGACAAACCGGCCCCAGUUCUAGCGAUGGGCUACAUGCAUGACCAUCUUCCACCUCCGCACCCAACCAAGGCCAAGGCGACCGAGCAGUCCACCUCCGCCGCCGUCGCCGGCGAAUUUGACCCCACCGAGCCAUGGUACGCGCGGGUGUGCACCCUGACGCGCCUCCGAAGGCACCGGGAGGCCCUUGCGGUCCUACGCCAUGCCGACCCUUCGCCGCCGCCGCACGCCAUGGCGCUGCCAUCCGCGGCCAUCUGCUGCGCGGCGCUCUCCCUCCCCUCCGGCGUCGCGCAGGUACACGCGCUCGCUGCCAAGCGCGGCCUCCUCCCUGCCUCCGACGCGUACCUCCUCUCCGCGCUGCUCUCUUCCUACUCCCGCCUGGGCCUCCUCCGCUGCGCGCGGCGGCUGCUCGACGAAAUGCCCCCUGCGUCCACGCCUCCAGCCACCGUCCUCUCCGCCUUCAACUCCCUCAUCUCCGGAUGCGCGCUCCACGCCCUCACCCCUGCCUGCUUCGCCCUCUUCCGCCGCAUGCGCGUGCACGUGGCCGGCGUCCACUUCGACGCCGUCACGCUCCUGACGCUGCUCCCGGCCGCUCCUACCACCGUCGUGCCGCAGCUCCACGCCCUGGCGGCUCGAACGGGACUCGCCUCCGGGACUACCGUGGCCAACUGCCUCAUAUCUGUGUAUGGCCGCAGCAGCGCCCCUCUUGCUCGGCAGGUUUUUGAGGAGAUGCCGCUGGCCUCCCGUGAUCUUGUCUCAUGGACCGCCGUGCUCUCGGCGCACGCACAGAAUGGUCUCACUGUGGACGCCCUCGAGCUCUACCGCCGCAUGCGUGGCCAUGGUGUGGAACCAGACGCUCUGACGCUCGUGGGCGUGCUCUCCUCCUGCGCACACCUUGACGCGCGUGUUGUUGGCCUGCACGUGGAUCGCUAUGUGCGGGAGAGAAUCCCGGGGUUUCGUGGAAAUGUGCAGCUUUGCAGCGCGCUUAUCAACUUCCAUGCACGCUGCGGCAGCUUGCCCCAGGCGCAGCAGCUGUUCGACGAAAUGCCCAGGAAGAGCAUCGUGUCGUGGACGGCGCUGAUCACCGGAUAUGGCAUGCAUGGACAUGGUGACAUGGCCAUUAAUCUCUUCCAAAGGAUGCUGUCAGAAGGCUUACGGCCAGAUAAUGUCGCAAUGGUCGCGCUCUUGUCGGCGUGCAGCCACGCCGGGAAGUAUGAAGAGGGGUGCAAGUACUUCUUUGCAAUGGAGAGCACCUACAAGCUGCAGCCUACACUGGAGCACUACGCCUGCAUGGUGGACCUUCUUGGACGGGCGGGCCAUCUCGAGGAGGCACGAGAGCUCAUCUCGUCGAUGCCCAUGCCAGCCGACGGUUCUGUGUGGGGUGCCCUUCUUGGGGCGUGCAAGAUACAUAAAAAUGUGGAGACAGGGGAGGAGGCUUUCAAGCAUGUUAUUAUGCUCGAACCAAGCAAUGUGGGCUACUACGUGCUCAUGGCUAACAUGUACACUGACAGUGGACAACAGGAUGGUGUUGCAAGGGUGCGUGCCAUGAUGACAGAGCUUGGGCUGAAGAAGGAGCCCGGUGUAGCUACCUAA
Molecule: ribosomal RNA, 1596 nt
Filed under: Triticum aestivum (bread wheat)
Lineage: Eukaryota; Viridiplantae; Streptophyta; Magnoliopsida; Poales; Poaceae
Description: partial small subunit ribosomal RNA
Source: RNAcentral